RNAcentral lists this transfer RNA (72 nucleotides) under Cotesia glomerata. Its description in RNAcentral is "tRNA-Thr". It matches the Rfam family "tRNA". Rfam says of the family: Transfer RNA (tRNA) molecules are approximately 80 nucleotides in length. Lineage: Eukaryota; Metazoa; Arthropoda; Insecta; Hymenoptera; Braconidae. The record is from RNAcentral.
GUCUCGGAUAGCUUAACUGGAGAGCCUUUGGCGCGUAACCGAGAGAUCUGGGUUCGAUUCCCAGUCUGGGCU